UGGGGAAUCUUGGACAAUGGGGGCAACCCUGAUCCAGCCAUGCCGCGUGGGUGAAGAAGGCCUUAGGGUUGUAAAGCCCUUUCAGCGGGGAAGAUGAUGACGGUACCCGCAGAAGAAGCCCCGGCUAACUCCGUGCCAGCAGCCGCGGUAAGACGGAGGGGGCUAGCGUUGUUCGGAAUUACUGGGCGUAAAGGGCGCGUAGGCGGACCGCCAAGUCAGGGGUGAAAGGCCAGGGCUCAACCUUGGAAGUGCCCUUGAAACUGAUGGUCUUGAGUCCGGGAGAGGAGAGCGGAAUUCCCAGUGUAGAGGUGAAAUUCGUAGAUAUUGGGAAGAACACCGGUGGCGAAGGCGGCUCUCUGGACCGGCACUGACGCUGAGGCGCGAAAGCGUGGGGAGCAAACA
RNAcentral lists this ribosomal RNA (402 nucleotides) under uncultured bacterium. RNAcentral describes it as "bacterial SSU rRNA". It matches the Rfam family "Bacterial small subunit ribosomal RNA", at positions 355 to 774 of the family's 1533-position model. The record is from RNAcentral.